Molecule: ribosomal RNA, 2707 nt
Filed under: Vibrio parahaemolyticus
Lineage: Bacteria; Pseudomonadati; Pseudomonadota; Gammaproteobacteria; Vibrionales; Vibrionaceae
Description: bacterial LSU rRNA
Rfam family: Bacterial large subunit ribosomal RNA
Source: RNAcentral
GUACCCCGAGGAAAAGAAAUCAACCGAGAUUCCGAAAGUAGCGGCGAGCGAAAUUGGACUAGCCCUUAAGCUUUACACGUGUUAGACGAACGGUCUGGAAAGUCCGACGAUACAGGGUGAUAGUCCCGUAGUUGACGACGUGUGUUCAGUGAAAUCGAGUAGGGCGGGACACGUGAUAUCCUGUCUGAAUAUGGGGGGACCAUCCUCCAAGGCUAAAUACUACUGACUGACCGAUAGUGAACCAGUACCGUGAGGGAAAGGCGAAAAGAACCCCUGUGAGGGGAGUGAAAUAGAACCUGAAACCGUGUACGUACAAGCAGUAGGAGCAGGCUUUGUCCUGUGACUGCGUACCUUUUGUAUAAUGGGUCAGCGACUUAUAUUCAGUGGCAAGGUUAACCAUCUAGGGGAGCCGUAGGGAAACCGAGUCUUAACUGGGCGUUCAGUCUCUGGAUAUAGACCCGAAACCAGGUGAUCUAGCCAUGGGCAGGUUGAAGGUUGAGUAACAUCAACUGGAGGACCGAACCGACUAAUGUUGAAAAAUUAGCGGAUGACUUGUGGCUAGGGGUGAAAGGCCAAUCAAACCUGGAGAUAGCUGGUUCUCCCCGAAAGCUAUUUAGGUAGCGCCUCGGACGAAUACUACUGGGGGUAGAGCACUGUUAAGGCUAGGGGGUCAUCCCGACUUACCAACCCUUUGCAAACUCCGAAUACCAGUAAGUACUAUCCGGGAGACACACGGCGGGUGCUAACGUCCGUCGUGGAGAGGGAAACAACCCAGACCGCCAGCUAAGGUCCCAAAUUACUACUAAGUGGGAAACGAUGUGGGAAGGCUCAGACAGCCAGGAUGUUGGCUUAGAAGCAGCCAUCAUUUAAAGAAAGCGUAAUAGCUCACUGGUCGAGUCGGCCUGCGCGGAAGAUGUAACGGGGCUAAGUAGUAAACCGAAGCUGCGGCAAUGUGCUUUUGCACAUUGGGUAGGGGAGCGUUCUGUAAGCGGUUGAAGGUGUGUGGUAACGCAUGCUGGACGUAUCAGAAGUGCGAAUGCUGACAUGAGUAACGAUAAAGGGGGUGAAAAACCUCCUCGCCGGAAGACCAAGGGUUCCUGUCCAACGUUAAUCGGGGCAGGGUAAGUCGACCCCUAAGGCGAGGCCGAAAGGCGUAGUCGAUGGGAAACGGGUUAAUAUUCCCGUACUUCUUACAAUUGCGAUGGGGGGACGGAGAAGGCUAGGUGGGCCUGGCGACGGUUGUCCAGGUUCAAGUGCGUAGGCUUAAGAGUUAGGUAAAUCCGGCUCUUUUUAAGGCUGAGACACGACGUCGAGCAUCUACGGAGGUGAAGUCAUUGAUGCCAUGCUUCCAGGAAAAGCCUCUAAGCUUCAGAUUGUAAGGAAUCGUACCCCAAACCGACACAGGUGGUCGGGUAGAGAAUACCAAGGCGCUUGAGAGAACUCGGGUGAAGGAACUAGGCAAAAUGGUACCGUAACUUCGGGAGAAGGUACGCUCUCGACGGUGAAGUCCCUCGCGGAUGGAGCUAUUGAGAGUCGCAGAUACCAGGUGGCUGCAACUGUUUAUUAAAAACACAGCACUGUGCAAAAUCGUAAGAUGACGUAUACGGUGUGACGCCUGCCCGGUGCCGGAAGGUUAAUUGAUGGGGUUAGACUUCGGUCGAAGCUCUUGAUCGAAGCCCCGGUAAACGGCGGCCGUAACUAUAACGGUCCUAAGGUAGCGAAAUUCCUUGUCGGGUAAGUUCCGACCUGCACGAAUGGCGUAAUGAUGGCCACGCUGUCUCCACCCGAGACUCAGUGAAAUUGAAAUCGCUGUGAAGAUGCAGUGUACCCGCGGCUAGACGGAAAGACCCCGUGAACCUUUACUACAGCUUGGCACUGAACAUUGACCCUACAUGUGUAGGAUAGGUGGGAGGCUUUGAAGCACGUACGCCAGUAUGUGUGGAGCCGUCCUUGAAAUACCACCCUUGUAGUGUUGAUGUUCUAACGUCGACCCCUUAUCGGGGUUGCGGACAGUGCCUGGUGGGUAGUUUGACUGGGGCGGUCUCCUCCCAAAGAGUAACGGAGGAGCACGAAGGUGGGCUAAUCACGGUUGGACAUCGUGAGGUUAGUGCAAUGGCAUAAGCCCGCUUGACUGCGAGAAUGACAAUUCGAGCAGGUGCGAAAGCAGGUCAUAGUGAUCCGGUGGUUCUGAAUGGAAGGGCCAUCGCUCAACGGAUAAAAGGUACUCCGGGGAUAACAGGCUGAUACCGCCCAAGAGUUCAUAUCGACGGCGGUGUUUGGCACCUCGAUGUCGGCUCAUCACAUCCUGGGGCUGAAGUCGGUCCCAAGGGUAUGGCUGUUCGCCAUUUAAAGUGGUACGCGAGCUGGGUUUAGAACGUCGUGAGACAGUUCGGUCCCUAUCUGCCGUGGGCGUUGGAAGAUUGAAGGGGGCUGCUCCUAGUACGAGAGGACCGGAGUGGACGAACCUCUGGUGUUCGGGUUGUGUCGCCAGACGCAUUGCCCGGUAGCUAAGUUCGGAAUCGAUAACCGCUGAAAGCAUCUAAGCGGGAAGCGAGCCCUGAGAUGAGUCUUCCCUGAUACUUUAAGUAUCCUAAAGGGUUGUCGGAGACUACGACGUUGAUAGGUCAGGUGUGUAAGUGCUGUGAGGCAUUGAGCUAACUGAUACUAAUUGCCCGUGAGGCUUAACCAUACAACACCUAAGGGGUUU